This is a long non-coding RNA of Micropterus salmoides (largemouth bass), 496 nucleotides long. RefSeq lists it as uncharacterized. Lineage: Eukaryota; Metazoa; Chordata; Actinopteri; Centrarchiformes; Centrarchidae. The record is from RefSeq and is a predicted model, not a curated record. The transcript has 2 exons.
UGACGACAGUCGUUACAGUCGUUAGGACUACCUGUGGCCAAGACUGAAGAAGUGCGCUGAGGUGUUUAGCAACUCUGUUUGAAGACACUACCAGCCAUUUCUUCCUUCUCUUUUCAUGUGGACACUCUGACCUACAGAGUUUUCAAUUAGCAACUUAUACGUACACAGAACUGCAGGAAAGUGAGCUGUUGUUUCUGAGAGCCACAUCAGUUAGCCGCAGCUAAAUCUGGAGUGCACUCCUAUUCGAGUAUUUACGGUAAAUGCUCCCACACGGAGCUGCCCGUUGCUCUGCUGAUUUCAGCUGCUGUUUCAACAAAAACGCCAUUCAGGGUGAAAAUUCAAUCGUGGUGUUGUGUCGGGAGAUGCAGUGACUUCACCAGCGAAAACACAGGAGGAGGCAUGCAGAGAACAAAACCAUAUUCUUCAGAGGAAAAGAAGAAGGAGGAGAAGGAGAGCAACAAAUAACCCCCAAACAAUAAAAUAAAUUCCUUUUAUA